RNAcentral lists this ribosomal RNA (465 nucleotides) under uncultured bacterium. RNAcentral describes it as "partial 16S ribosomal RNA". It matches the Rfam family "Bacterial small subunit ribosomal RNA", at positions 28 to 507 of the family's 1533-position model. The record is from RNAcentral.
GACGAACGCUGGCGGCGUGCUUAACACAUGCAAGUCGAACGGAAAGGCCCUGCUUGCAGGGUACUCGAGUGGCGAACGGGUGAGUAACACGUGGGCGAUCUGCCCUGCACUUCGGGAUAAGCCUGGGAAACUGGGUCUAAUACCGGAUAGGAGCCAUUUUUAGUGUGAUGGUUGGAAAGUUUUUUCGGUGUAGGAUGAGCUCGCGGCCUAUCAGCUUGUUGGUGGGGUAAUGGCCUACCAAGGCGGCGACGGGUAGCCGGCCUGAGAGGGUGGACGGCCACAUUGGGACUGAGAUACGGCCCAGACUCCUACGGGAGGCAGCAGUGGGGAAUAUUGCACAAUGGGCGCAAGCCUGAUGCAGCGACGCCGCGUGGGGGAUGACGGCCUUCGGGUUGUAAACUCCUUUCGCUAGGGACGAAGCUUUUUGUGACGGUACCUAGAUAAGAAGCACCGGCUAACUACGUG